Molecule: ribosomal RNA, 305 nt
Filed under: uncultured bacterium
Lineage: Bacteria
Description: bacterial SSU rRNA
Rfam family: Bacterial small subunit ribosomal RNA
Source: RNAcentral
GGCCUACGGGGGGCAGCAGUGAGGAAUAUUGGUCAAUGGGCUUACGCCUGAACCAGCCAAGUCGCGUGAGGGAAGACUGCCCUAUGGGCUGUAAACCUCUUUUGUCAGGGAGCAACGCCGGCUACGUGUAGCCGGACUGAGAGUACCUGAAGAAAAAGCAUCGGCUAACUACGUGCCAGCAGCCGCGGUAAUACGUAGGGGGCAAGCGUUAUCCGGAUUUACUGGGUGUAAAGGGAGCGUAGACGGCCAGACAAGUCUGAAGUGAAAAUCCAGCGCUUAACGUUGGAAGUGCUUUGGAAACUGCC